This 72-nucleotide transfer RNA is filed under the name Xenopus tropicalis (tropical clawed frog). Its description in RNAcentral is "Xenopus (Silurana) tropicalis (western clawed frog) tRNA". It matches the Rfam family "tRNA". From Rfam's summary of the family: Transfer RNA (tRNA) molecules are approximately 80 nucleotides in length. Their secondary structure includes four short double-helical elements and three loops (D, anti-codon, and T loops). The record is from Rfam by way of RNAcentral. Lineage: Eukaryota; Metazoa; Chordata; Amphibia; Anura; Pipidae.
GAGGGCAUAGCUCAUUGGUAGACCAUUUGACUGCGGAUCAAGAGGUCCCUGUUUCAAAUAAAGGUGCUCCCU